UCAGUUAUCGUUUAUUUGAUAGUACCUUACUACUUGGAUAACCGUGGUAAUUCUAGAGCUAAUACAUGCUGAAAACCCCGACUUCGGAAGGGGUGUAUUUAUUAGAUAAAAAACCAAUGCCCUUCGGGGCUCCUUGGUGAUUCAUAAUAACUUGUCAGAUCGCAUGGCCUUGCGCCGGCGACGGUUCAUUCAAAUUUCUGCCCUAUCAACUUUCGAUGGUAAGGUAUUGGCUUACCAUGGUUUCAACGGGUAACGGGGAAUUAGGGUUCGAUUCCGGAGAGGGAGCCUGAGAAACGGCUACCACAUCCAAGGAAGGCAGCAGGCGCGCAAAUUACCCAAUCCCGACACGGGGAGGUAGUGACAAUAAAUACUGAUACAGGGCUCUUUUGGGUCUUGUAAUUGGAAUGAGUACAAUUUAAACCUCUUAACGAGGAACAAUUGGAGGGCAAGUCUGGUGCCAGCAGCCGCGGUAAUUCCAGCUCCAAUAGCGUAUAUUAAAGUUGUUGCAGUUAAAAAGCUCGUAGUUGAACCUUUGGCCUGGCUGGCAGGUCCGCCUCACCGCGUGCACUUGUCCGGCCGGGCCUUCUCUUCUGGAGAACCGCAUGCCCUUCACUGGGUGUGUUGGGGACCAGGACUUUUACUUUGAAAAAAUUAGAGUGUUCAAAGCAGGCCUUUGCUCGAAUACGUUAGCAUGGAAUAAUAGAAUAGGACGUGCGGUCCUAUUUUGUUGGUUUCUAGGACCGCCGUAAUGAUUAAUAGGGACAGUCGGGGGCAUCAGUAUUCAAUUGUCAGAGGUGAAAUUCUUGGAUUUAUUGAAGACUAACUACUGCGAAAGCAUUUGCCAAGGAUGUUUUCAUUAAUCAGUGAACGAAAGUUAGGGGAUCGAAGACGAUCAGAUACCGUCGUAGUCUUAACCAUAAACUAUGCCGACUAGGGAUCGGGCGGUGUUAUUAUUUUGACUCGCU
Molecule: ribosomal RNA, 965 nt
Filed under: Stagonospora macropycnidia
Lineage: Eukaryota; Fungi; Ascomycota; Dothideomycetes; Pleosporales; Massarinaceae
Description: SSU rRNA
Rfam family: Eukaryotic small subunit ribosomal RNA
Source: RNAcentral